ACAAGUGUAACAAGUUCAUCCUUGAUUGCUAUGACAAUCCAUUAUAUUGAUCUUACAUAACUGCCUUUCACAAAGAUCAUCGAGUAACUGCAGUGACUAUUGGUUAAUUUGAUAAGUAGAUCUCUAUAAUUUUGUAGAACCAGAUCUAGUUAUCAAAUUAAAUAACACUCAUUGGGAUUACUCGAUGAUCUUUUCGAUGAGGUUUUAUGCAAGAUCCAAAUAAUUCAUUGGCAUAACAGUCAAUUGUUACACUUAUUUUUUGUGGGAUUUGAAUAGACUUCACAUGCUGUGAAAACUGUAGUGAUUGCUAGAAAUUUUUCCAACCAGGGAACACACAUCAUGUCCUAAAAGACAAAUUCAACAAUUUUACUAAGAAAAUUAUGAAGAAUUAAUCUUGGCAUUGUAAUCGAAAGGGGUAUUACUUACCAUUCCGUUAGAAGUAAAAAGGUGAAUGGGAGUCCUCGUGACCAUUACUUAGUUUGUAGGGGCAUUGUAAUAUGUGAAGGGCGGAACUCGAAUACGUAAUUGUCUGCUUAUUCACCUUAGGAUUUUAAUUUUUUUAUUUGUAAUAUAUCCAUUUUCAAGUUUUGGUUC
This is a long non-coding RNA of Lathyrus oleraceus (garden pea), 594 nucleotides long. RefSeq lists it as uncharacterized. Lineage: Eukaryota; Viridiplantae; Streptophyta; Magnoliopsida; Fabales; Fabaceae. The transcript has 2 exons. The record is from RefSeq and is a predicted model, not a curated record.